RNAcentral lists this small nuclear RNA (196 nucleotides) under Nelumbo nucifera (sacred lotus). RNAcentral describes it as "U2 spliceosomal RNA". It matches the Rfam family "U2 spliceosomal RNA". Rfam says of the family: U2 is a small nuclear RNA (snRNA) component of the spliceosome (involved in pre-mRNA splicing). Complementary binding between U2 snRNA (in an area lying towards the 5' end but 3' to hairpin I) and the branchpoint sequence (BPS) of the intron results the bulging out of an unpaired adenosine, on the BPS, which initiates a nucleophilic attack at the intronic 5' splice site, thus starting the first of two transesterification reactions that mediate splicing. Lineage: Eukaryota; Viridiplantae; Streptophyta; Magnoliopsida; Proteales; Nelumbonaceae. The record is from Rfam by way of RNAcentral.
AUACCUUUCUCGGCCUUUUGGCUAAGAUCAAGUGUAGUAUCUGUUCUUAUCAGUUUAAUAUCUGAUACGUGGGCCAUCGGUCCACAUGAUAUUAAAUUUAUUUUUCUAGGGGGAAGACCCACCGCAGUAGCUUGCUACUGGGGUCCUCUUGCGUCUGCCAUGCGUUGCACUACUGCACGGAACUGGCGCACCCCAC